Molecule: ribosomal RNA, 488 nt
Filed under: uncultured bacterium
Lineage: Bacteria
Description: bacterial SSU rRNA
Rfam family: Bacterial small subunit ribosomal RNA
Source: RNAcentral
AGCGGCAGGCUUAAUACAUGCAAGGUUGAGGGGCAGCAUGAUAUACGCGAGUAUAUUGAUGGCGACCGGCGGACGGGUGAGUAAUAGGUAGGAGACCUACCUCAUACAGGGGGAUAGCAUAGAGAAAUCUGUGGUAAUACCCCAUGAGGUUAUAUGAAUAGAGGCAUAUAAUCAAAGCAUAAGCGAUUAUGCGGUAUGAGAGGGGCCUACUGACCAUUAGCUAGUUGGUGAGGUAAGGGCUCACCAAGGCGAAGAUGGUUAGGGGUUUUGAGAGAGAGACCCCCCCACAUUGGAACUGAGAGACGGUCCAGACUCCUACGGGAGGCAGCAGUAGGGAAUAUUGGGCAAUGGGCGGAAGCCUGACCCAGCCAUGCCGCGUGAAGGAAGACGGCCUUAUGGGUUGUAAACUUCUUUACUAUGCGACUAACUAGAUUUACGAGAUAAUUCUAUAGAAUGUAGCAUAGCAAAAAGCACCGGCUAACUCCGUG